UUUUUUUCAAUUCGGAUCGGCUCGGUUUUGUGGUUCUCCGGUUCUUAUGCCCAUUCUGAGCAUAAUUGCUUCCUGGUUUUGACUGCUUCUGCGAGACUAAAAUUGUCAUCAUCAUCAGUGCAGCCAUUGCAGGCUGGCUGCAAGAGAGGGUUAUUAGAAUUAAAGUGAAUACCUCGCAGACGCAGACAAACUGCAGAUUUUCAAUCAAGAAGUAGAAUUAGAACUUGACAUGGAAAACAAGGUUUUAAUUCAGUACAACCACACGGAUCCCUGCUCAUUUGCGCGUUGGACUACCAAGGAAUGCUUCCAGUUCAUGUCUGCCAGGCCAUGGCAACAAGUUAUGGAUUUUUAUUCGGAUGUGGUGAAGGACCGCAAGCCCUUAUCAGCGUUGUUGGGCAAAGCUUGUUUGAGUAAGAGUAACAUUUACAAUAGGCUAGAGAGUCUACCGCCAUCUCAAGAUAAGGGUGGGAGGUGGGCACGACUAACAUUCAAGAUUGUUGUUUCGUAUCAUGGUGGUUCCUUUGAUGGCUGGCAAAGGCAGCCAGGCCUCAACACUGUUCAAAGUGUGGUGGAAAAAUCUCUGGGAAAAUUUGUUGAUGAGAGGAAAGCGCAGAUGCUGAAAGACAAAGGUUUGCCAUUAGAAGGCGCUGCUCUUGUUGCCGGACGCACUGACAAAGGAGUGACUGCCGUUCAUCAAGUUUGUUCUUUUUAUACUUGGAGAAAGGAUGUCAAAUCUCAAGAUAUUACAGAUGCCAUCAAUAGUGCAGCACCAGGAAAACUCAGGGUCGUAUCAGUUACUGAGGUAUCACGUGCCUUCCAUCCAAAUUUUACUGCCAAAUGGAGGCAUUAUUUAUAUAUAUUUCCAUUUAAUGAUGAGGAGGACAUGGAGCAAAGUAAUCAGAGUGGAGAGAAUGUUCAAAAUUUUAAGAGUCAAGAGAAUUAUCAUGAGCAUAAAAAUGGAUGUGAUCAAUGCAAUGAAGCAAAUGUUGGGAACUUAGUUAUCAACGAUAACGAAGACCUUGAAACUCUGAAACCUCGGGAAUUCACCGGGUCCGCCAACAGAGUGUUUUCUCUACCAUGCUCGAGCAAAAGAAUCCAAACUACCAUGUUCAGUAUGAGUUUGCUGCUAUUACUAGUCUUGCAAAUCUUGUCUCUUCUGUUUAUAUUUUCCUUCUGUGAUUUAGGUUUUUUAAGUUCACAUCUAUUGUGUAGGAUGGGACUCAAUUAUUUAGUUUCUGCACCCAUAUACACAUGAGACUGACACGAGUAAUCAUGUUCACUGAUGGGAAUAACGCAUGCCAUAAUUUUGGACCUCAAUUGCCUCCCUCUCCCAAUAAUAUCGAUGGGAAUUUGGAUGGACAAAGCGUACAUGAAUAAACUGAAUCAGAAAAACCGAAAAAAAAUCAUAUGAGGGCCUAGCCUCAGGAAGUAAAUUCUUGGAAAAUUUUCAGUAUCAUCUCGCAGUUUCUAGUCCUCAAACUUUCCACUAUGUGAGGACAGGCUUUGAAAGCGUUCUAACCACUUCUUGCCCUAAAUAAUAAAUAUCUUAUACCUUAAAGGCAUGAGUACUUGUGUCCAUAAAUGUGUGCUUAUAAUUUAUAGUUAGAUUGCAGGAUUUAUCUGAAUAUAAUGUUUAGAACAUAUUGGAUUAAGCACAACGUACGUGGUUACUUUCCCUUUUCGUUUGAAUUGGCUGAAUUAUACAUUAAAAUGAUGUGAAAUUGUUCCAAACUAUUGUUUAGGUGAGCACAAAAUGCUCUUGGCCGUGCCUUGCCUGCAAUGGAUUUGAUAUUUUAUUUGCAGAAAUUUCAUAACUCUAAUUAUAUGAGCUUCAGGCUCAAAUAUUAAAUCUUUUGUUGUCAAUGUAGUGAUCCAGCAAAAUGUGUACCUACCCACGAGUGUAUAUGAAUUACUAAUGGCACUGUGGUUAUGUGUAGGAGCAUGAGAAAGGAAGAAGGGUUAUGUGUAUUGAACUUGUUGCUAAUCGAUUCUUACGCAGGAUGGUUCGGGUUCUUGUGGCAACCUCAAUAAGGGAAGCGGCUGCAGGUGCAGAUGAGGAUGCAUUGCUAAAGCUGAUGGAUGCUACAUGCAGACGUGCCACUGCUCCCCCAGCACCCCCUGAUGGUUUAUGUCUUGUUGAUGUGGGUUAUGAAGAAUUUGAUCCACAAGAUUGCCUCAUCUUGAAAGAGUGAAUGUACAGUGACAUUCAUGCAGAGGUAGCUUCCGAUCUUUAAAGUGAAUAUGACAAAGCAAACACAUUAAACAAUGAUAAACCCUUGUUUUGAUAUUAGGUGGAAAUGCAAGUCAUCCGAUGGAUCUCAACCUAUCCAAAGCACUUAUUUUUUCACAUGUAACUCCUUGCCGCUGAAAUUUUUACAGAAAUGUCAAAUUUUGUUGUGAGGGCUAUUCCAGUUUAAUUCUUGUGAUACUGUCUGAACUGAAAUCAAGUCAGUUGUGUUUAGUAAGAGAAGAAAUGAAGUUGCUUAUUGUUCUAACACCCA
Molecule: RNA transcript, 2501 nt
Organism: Prunus dulcis (almond)
Lineage: Eukaryota; Viridiplantae; Streptophyta; Magnoliopsida; Rosales; Rosaceae
Gene name: tRNA pseudouridine synthase A
Exons: 7
Source: RefSeq, a predicted model, not a curated record